Molecule: transfer RNA, 73 nt
Organism: Ovis aries (sheep)
Lineage: Eukaryota; Metazoa; Chordata; Mammalia; Artiodactyla; Bovidae
Rfam family: tRNA
About the family: Transfer RNA (tRNA) molecules are approximately 80 nucleotides in length. Their secondary structure includes four short double-helical elements and three loops (D, anti-codon, and T loops). Further hydrogen bonds mediate the characteristic L-shaped molecular structure. tRNAs have two regions of fundamental functional importance: the anti-codon, which is responsible for specific mRNA codon recognition, and the 3' end, to which the tRNAs corresponding amino acid is attached (by aminoacyl-tRNA synthetases). tRNAs cope with the degeneracy of the genetic code in two manners: having more than one tRNA (with a specific anti-codon) for a particular amino acid; and 'wobble' base-pairing, i.e. permitting non-standard base-pairing at the 3rd anti-codon position.
Source: Rfam
UCCCUAGUGGACCAGUGGUUAGAACUUGGCAUUUUCACUGCCAAGGGCCCAGGUUCAAUCCCUGGUUUGGGAA